RNAcentral lists this small RNA (28 nucleotides) under Bombyx mori (domestic silkworm). RNAcentral describes it as "ovarian small RNA-7874". The record is from RNAcentral. Lineage: Eukaryota; Metazoa; Arthropoda; Insecta; Lepidoptera; Bombycidae.
UGAAAGCAUAUGGACCUACAAUUAAUAU